GUCCGGGGUGCCCAAACUGGGUGCUGGAGGACCACUGUCCUGCAGAGUUUAGCUCCAACCCUAAUUAAACACACCUGAACCAGCUUAUCAAGCUCUAACUACGCAUUCUAGAAACUUCCAGGCAGGUAUGUUGAGACAAGUUGGAGCUAAGCUCUGCAGGACACCGAGUUUGGACACCCCUGGUGAGCUAACUACACCCCAAAGGCUGUUUUAAGAGCCACAGCACUGAGCAUCUUUGGCUUUGAGCCAAAUACACCCCAAAACGCUCUUUUAAGGGCCACCUAAUCACUGCAACUUAGGCUUUAUCAGCCGUCAAUGGUUAUGGAGGCCAGCCAAGACCAACUGGGAUGCUAUUUG
This is a long non-coding RNA of Sinocyclocheilus rhinocerous, 357 nucleotides long. RefSeq lists it as uncharacterized. NCBI's taxonomy places the organism in Eukaryota, Metazoa, Chordata, Actinopteri, Cypriniformes, Cyprinidae. The transcript is spliced from 4 exons. The record is from RefSeq and is a predicted model, not a curated record.